Molecule: unclassified non-coding RNA, 497 nt
Filed under: uncultured Glomus
Lineage: Eukaryota; Fungi; Glomeromycota; Glomeromycetes; Glomerales; Glomeraceae
Description: SSU rRNA
Rfam family: Eukaryotic small subunit ribosomal RNA
Source: RNAcentral
CCAAUAGCGUAUAUUAAAGUUGUUGCAGUUAAAAAGCUCGUAGUUGAAUUUCGGGGUUAGUAGGUUGGUCAUGCCUCUGGUAUGUAAUGGUCUCACUGAUUCCUCCUUCCUGAUGAACCGUAAUGCCAUUAAUUUGGUGUUGCGGGGAAUUUGGACUGUUACUUUGAAAAAAUUAGAGUGUUUAAAGCAAGCUAACGCUUGAAUACAUUAGCAUGGAAUAAUGAAAUAGGACGUUCGGUCCUAUUUUGUUGGUUUCUAGGAUUGACGUAAUGAUUAAUAGGGAUAGUUGGGGGCAUUAGUAUUCAAUUGUCAGAGGUGAAAUUCUUGGAUUUAUUGAAGACUAACUACUGCGAAAGCAUUUGCCAAGGAUGUUUUCAUUAAUCAAGAACGAAAGUUAGAGGUUCGAAGACGAUCAGAUACCGUCGUAGUUCUGACCAUAAACGAUGUCGACUAGCGAUCCGCGGCCGUUGUUCAUAUGACUUCGCGGGCAGCCUUCG